RNAcentral lists this ribosomal RNA (375 nucleotides) under Nocardia sp. Its description in RNAcentral is "bacterial SSU rRNA". It matches the Rfam family "Bacterial small subunit ribosomal RNA", at positions 200 to 590 of the family's 1533-position model. Lineage: Bacteria; Bacillati; Actinomycetota; Actinomycetes; Mycobacteriales; Nocardiaceae. The record is from RNAcentral.
UGGAAAGAUUUAUCGGUGCGAGAUGGGCCCGCGGCCUAUCAGCUUGUUGGUGAGGUAACGGCUCACCAAGGCGACGACGGGUAGCCGACCUGAGAGGGUGACCGGCCACACUGGGACUGAGACACGGCCCAGACUCCUACGGGAGGCAGCAGUGGGGAAUAUUGCACAAUGGGCGAAAGCCUGAUGCAGCGACGCCGCGUGCGGGAUGACGGCCUUCGGGUUGUAAACCGCUUUUGACAGGGACGAAGCGCGAGUGACUGUACCUGUAGAAUAAGGACCGGCCAACUACGUGCCAGCAGCCGCGGUAAUACGUAGGGUCCGAGCGUUGUCCGGAAUUACUGGGCGUAAAGAGCUUGUAGGCGGUUCGUCGCGUCG